GUGCCAGCAGCCGCGGUAAUACGGGGGGUGCAAGCGUUGUUCGGAAUCAUUGGGCGUAAAGGGCGUGUAGGCGGCUUGGUAAGUCAGAUGUGAAAGCCCUGGGCUUAACCCAGGAAGUGCAUUUGAAACUGUCAGGCUUGAGUAGGGGAGAGGAAGGUGGAAUUCCUGGUGUAGAGGUGAAAUUCGUAGAUAUCAGGAGGAACACCGGUGGCGAAGGCGACCUUCUGGCCCUAUACUGACGCUGAGACGCGAAAGCGUGGGUAGCAAACAGGAUUAGAUACCCUGGUAGUCCACGCCGUAAACGAUGUUCACUAGGUGUUGGGAGUAUUGACCCUCUCAGUGCCGAAGCUAACGCAUUAAGUGAACCGCCUGGGGAUUACGGCCGCAAGGCUAAA
RNAcentral lists this ribosomal RNA (395 nucleotides) under uncultured bacterium. RNAcentral describes it as "bacterial SSU rRNA". It matches the Rfam family "Bacterial small subunit ribosomal RNA", at positions 505 to 898 of the family's 1533-position model. The record is from RNAcentral.